Long non-coding RNA from Triticum dicoccoides, 2312 nucleotides. RefSeq lists it as uncharacterized. NCBI's taxonomy places the organism in Eukaryota, Viridiplantae, Streptophyta, Magnoliopsida, Poales, Poaceae. The record is from RefSeq and is a predicted model, not a curated record. The transcript is spliced from 2 exons.
AUCCGAGCCAUCAUAACCUAGCCGCAACCGCAAAAUCCUCCCUUGUAGUUGCCCCCAUCCAUGUCCACCUCGACCCGAUCACCGCUCCCGCCAGCCGACCCCGAGGCAGAGAGAUCACCGGCCCAGGUUUAUUUCCCCUUCAAUACCAUCCCCUACCCUGCCGCCAUCACCAAAAGUUAAGUUUGAUUGAGGACACCCGGUGCCUGCAAUCGCCGGAGAAAGACGGUCACGAGAAGGAGAAGCCGCUGGCCCGCUCCGCACCGGCGACGCUCCUGCGAACCUCGCGAACCAGGGAAGAAGAUGUGCCGCUAGGAAUCUGUUCCGUCCAUCCUCUACAGGUCAGUUUCUCUACCCCUUCUGUACAUCCCCUAUUUUUGAUGGAUUCACUUACUUGAUCUGAUCUCUGUUUUGGGGGAAGAGGAGAUCAGAGGAUGAGAACCAGAUGAUCCGACUAUAGAAACUGGGAGAAAUCAGAGGCUUGCCUGCCGUGAUUUAUUGCUUCUUAUAUCACGCAGGCGUUAGGGCUCUCCCAAUCUCAUCCUAGAGGAAUAGGACACCUUGCAUGACCGUGAGCGCCGCUGCUCAUCUUAGCUUGUCAGAUUAGGCCGGUUCAAGCAGUGUCUUAGGCACGCUACUAUCCAAGGCGGUCUUCGCGCUUCCACCCUACAUCCACACUAUCCACCAUGUCUCUCCCUAGAUGUGUGGGGAGGAGCAAGCAGGAGGGAAGGAGGAGCACGCAUGACUCCUCUGUCCUGUAUGUAUUUUCAUUUAUGAUAUAUCCAAAACAGAUUACUAUAGAUUAGUUCCCACAACUAUUUAUUAGAUUGGUGCUUAUAUGAAAAAGAUUGAAACACCUCGUUUUAACUUGAUUGGUUCUCAAAGCCUUUCAUAUAGAUUGAAACAACGUGUCAGAUGGAAGGAUAAUCUAAUGUUGUGCUAUCCUGUUUCGAAUUGUAGGCCACAUGAUCAUUUUGUGAGCACCAAACAUGCAGUGAUUGAUGCUUAUAUAUAUAUAUAAAAGCGUAGAAAAAUAAUCUCUUAAGCUAGCAUGGUUUUCACAAUAUAAUGUUCAGUUUUGAGUUAAGAUACACUUUCGUACUGCUAGCCAAUCUUUUUAGAGCUUGUCACUCCAUAAACUAAAACUUGUGAAUUCGAUUGUCAAAUAUUUCUUUUGAGGGCCAUCAACACCAAAAUUUGUUCAUAGUUAUUCAGGUGCACUAUUAGUUAUAUAUGUUAGGCAAAUCUCCCUCGGUGGAGAUCCUGCAGUACUAUAAUUUUGUAGCUUCCUUGUAAUGUAUAAGAUCACGAUAUACACCACAUUCAGUUGCAAGGACGAUGGCGAUGAAAGUUGACAAGGUACUUGAAAGACUACCUGGAAGGAAGAAAAAGAUGACCGUGGUAAGCCAUUCUGAGCUGAAGUGUUCUAUUUUUCUUAUCAACAACUCCUCAAAAUGCCAUGCCAUACCAAUUCAGAGGUUUUUGACCCUGAUAAAUGUAUUAUUAUUCUAUUCUAUUGGCCAUUAUGAAGGAUGCAUACUGAAAAAAUUCAAUAGAAGGCACAUUUUUGCAAGUCAUUGACAGUCUAUAUUUUUUUUAAGUUGGAAGAGUGUGUCAUUGACACCCUUAAUCUGAGGACUACACUUUGCAUAUUGACUUGAUACAUGCACUGUUUUUAAUUACCAUUUCUACCGUUUCUCAGAUUUUGAACGUGAAAUCAGGAGAAAUGUUCUUGGGAUUCUUGCCAAAUGAGUAAUCCUACUUAAUAUGCUUUUGUUAUUCGAAACCUAUUACAGCGGUCAGUCAUGAGCAUAGGGCAUUGCUGCAUUUUAUUUGGAUGUGUACAAAUUUUUCAUAAUACCACCCUUUAUUUUGCAUCAUUCAUUUCGUCCAGUUUGGUCCUCACAUAUGUUCAUCUUACUGUUCAUUAGAUGGUGUUCGACCUUAAGAGCUGGUGAUUUCUGUACAUGCACUGAACCAACGAAAGUUGUCAUAGAUUUUGUAGCUUUUACUUGGUAAGAACUAAGAAUAAUGUACACUCGUACUUGCUUAAUUUUUAAAUAGUUAAGUUUGUAAUGUACAUGAACAAGUGUAGCCACACGACUCACUUAAUACUCUUUCUGAUCCAGAAUAAGUGUCAGAUUUGAACUAAGGAUAAACUAACCUUAGUUCAAAAUUGCAACACGUAUUUUGGAUCGGAGAGAGUAGUAUUUAGCGAUGUCUUUGCCUUAUUAUUUAUACUACUAAAUUUUCAUGUAUUGAUGUGAACAGAAAGGCCAUGGUUGCAUAUUGGUUCCAUAUAAGUAGUACUUCCA